This 709-nucleotide long non-coding RNA is filed under the name Anas platyrhynchos (mallard). Its description in RNAcentral is "lncRNA (ENSAPLG00020015755.1)". Lineage: Eukaryota; Metazoa; Chordata; Aves; Anseriformes; Anatidae. The record is from RNAcentral.
AUGUUUAUUCGCCUUUCUCUUAGGCAGAGCUGGUGCACACUCGGGGCUCUGCAUUUUGCGGAAUCACGCUGUGUCUUCGCAUGCAAUCUCUCCCUGAAUGUGCAAUGUCUUUCCUGCUCGGGAGUGCUGCGUCCUUCACAGUGGAUUGGUUCCUCUUUCGGAGCAGAGACUUACAUGAAGAAAUUGUUACAGAUGUCAUGUUUUGAGGAUGGCUGAUCCUGUGCUUGGAAGCCAGCUCAUGCCAAACAGGUGAAACAGCAGAGCGAACACCAAGGACAGAGACGGAGGAGGAGGAAGUACUCCAGGCACUCCAGAUGUGCACACUGGAGCCUGUGCAGGACCCCAUGCUGGAGUAUGUGAAUAUUUCCUGAAGAAAAUGUGGCCUGUGGAGAGCAGGGGAAAAGCAUGAGUGGGAAGGACAGGCAGAGAGAAACUGUUAUACACUGACCAUAACCCCUUGUCACUGUGCACCACUCAGAGGUGUGAUACAGCGUGCCCCACCUGGUGCCUGGUGUGAAUGAGAUGUCUAGACUGUGAGAGUGGGGAGGAAAGAUGUUUUUAUGUUCUUGUUUCUCGCUACCCAAAUCUAUUUUAAUUAGCGAUAAAUUAAAUUAAUUUUUCCCAAGUCAAAUUUGUUUUUCCUGAGAUGGUAAUUGGUAAGCAAGCUCCCUGACUUUGUCUCAAUCCAUCAGGUUUUUCAUCCUAUAUU